GGAUUAGAUACCCUGGUAGUCCACGCCGUAAACGAUGAUCACUCGCUGUUUGCGAUACACAGUAAGCGGCUGAGCGAAAGCAUUAAGUGAUCCACCUGGGGAGUACGAUCGCAAGGUUAAAACUCAAAGGAAUUGACGGGGGCCCGCACAAGCGGAGGAGCAUGUGGUUUAAUUCGAUGAUACGCGAGGAACCUUACCUGGGCUUAAAUGUAGAGUGCAUGAGUGGGAAACCAUUCUUUCCUUCGGGACUCUUUACAAGGUGCUGCAUGGUUGUCGUCAGCUCGUGUUG
This 289-nucleotide ribosomal RNA is filed under the name uncultured bacterium. RNAcentral's name for it is "partial 16S ribosomal RNA". It matches the Rfam family "Bacterial small subunit ribosomal RNA", at positions 775 to 1067 of the family's 1533-position model. The record is from RNAcentral.